GGACUUAAAACCUGACGGCUUUAGCAUCAGGUAGCAGUGAAAGCUGCGGGAGGAUGAAAAUCCGUUGACCGUAAAAG
This 77-nucleotide transfer RNA is filed under the name Nostoc commune MUB-Algas 2943. RNAcentral's name for it is "partial tRNA-Leu". The record is from RNAcentral. Lineage: Bacteria; Bacillati; Cyanobacteriota; Cyanophyceae; Nostocales; Nostocaceae.